GUCGAGCGGAACGAUCCUAGCUUGCUAGGAGGCGUCGAGCGGCGGACGGGUGAGUAAUGCAUAGGAAUCUGCCCGGUAGUGGGGGAUAACCUGGGGAAACCCAGGCUAAUACCGCAUACGCCCUACGGGGGAAAGCAGGGGAUCUUCGGACCUUGCGCUAUCGGAUGAGCCUAUGUCGGAUUAGCUAGUUGGUGAGGUAACGGCUCACCAAGGCUGCGAUCCGUAGCUGGUCUGAGAGGAUGAUCAGCCACAUCGGGACUGAGACACGGCCCGAACUCCUACGGGAGGCAGCAGUGGGGAAUAUUGGACAAUGGGCGAAAGCCUGAUCCAGCCAUGCCGCGUGUGUGAAGAAGGCCUUCGGGUUGUAAAGCACUUUCAGUGAGGAAGAAAGCCUUGAGGUUAAUACCCUCGAGGGAGGACAUCACUCACAGAAGAAGCACCGGCUAACUCCGUGCCAGCAGCCGCGGUAAUACGGAGGGUGCGAGCGUUAAUCGGAAUUACUGGGCGUAAAGCGCGCGUAGGCGGCUUGAUAAGCCGGUUGUGAAAGCCCCGGGCUCAACCUGGGAACGGCAUCCGGAACUGUCAGGCUAGAGUGCAGGAGAGGAAGGUAGAAUUCCCGGUGUAGCGGUGAAAUGCGUAGAGAUCGGGAGGAAUACCAGUGGCGAAGGCGGCCUUCUGGACUGACACUGACGCUGAGGUGCGAAAGCGUGGGUAGCAAACAGGAUUAGAUACCCUGGUAGUCCACGCCGUAAACGAUGUCGACUAGCCGUUGGGCUCCUUGAGAGCUUUGUGGCGCAGUUAACGCGAUAAGUCGACCGCCUGGGGAGUACGGCCGCAAGGUUAAAACUCAAAUGAAUUGACGGGGGCCCGCACAAGCGGUGGAGCAUGUGGUUUAAUUCGAUGCAACGCGAAGAACCUUACCUACCCUUGACAUCGAGAGAACUUUCCUGAGAUGGAUUGGUGCCUUCGGGAACUCUC
This 978-nucleotide ribosomal RNA is filed under the name uncultured bacterium. RNAcentral describes it as "bacterial SSU rRNA". It matches the Rfam family "Bacterial small subunit ribosomal RNA", at positions 61 to 1031 of the family's 1533-position model. The record is from RNAcentral.